This is a long non-coding RNA of Bactrocera neohumeralis, 2433 nucleotides long. RefSeq lists it as uncharacterized. The record is from RefSeq and is a predicted model, not a curated record. The transcript has 6 exons. Lineage: Eukaryota; Metazoa; Arthropoda; Insecta; Diptera; Tephritidae.
AGAAAAGUUUGGACAAAGGCCGAGACACUUCUAUUCCUGAAGUGCUACACUGAGAGAAAGGAUGAGUUCCUGCAUGCGCGGAAGAAAAAGUUCGCAUAUGAAAACGUCUUGGAGGACAUGGUAUAUCAAGGAUUUACAGAUACAACAAUUAAUGCGGCUGCCCUUGUAUCAAAAAUGCGAACGCUUUUGAAUGCCUACAAAACAGCAAAAGACAACGAGAAGCAGACUGGCACUUCUCCGUGCACAGUACCUUAUAUGCGCGAAAUGGACGAUAUUUUUGGCGAAAGUUGCUUGGUGUCCAACAACCAUACCAUAAACAUUGGGACAGAACCUCAAGAGGCAUUGGUUGAGUCUCGUGGUAAGGAUUCAACCUGAUUUUUAGACAAUGCUCGACGAUAUGCCAAGUACUUCAAGGCAGAGCCAGUCUGCACUAAGCCGUAGCAUAUGCAUACCGAAUGCAGUGUAUUCACAGGAGCCGAACGCAGCAAAUCCUGUUCCAAAUCGACGUUAUCGGAAAAGCGCUAAAGAACGAUAUUUUGAUAAAAAAAUCGAACAAAAAAGGAAAAGUGCUGAAGUGAAGGCGAAGUUUUACACGAAUAUAGAAAAACAAAUACAGGAUAUGGCCGAAAAACAACAUAUUCUAAUAGAAAUUGAACAAAAAAAAAAAAAACUGAGAAUAGAAGAAGAAAAAUUAAAAAUUUUACAGCAGUCUUUUGUGAAUAAAAAUUAGAAAAGCUACUUGAUUUCUUAACGAAUAUGUAUUGUUUUAUUUAACGGAAAUAUAAAAUCAAGCUUAUCAUAAAAUGAACAUUUUUUACAUACAAAUCUGCAAAUGCAUACGUAUAUAUCACAAUAGAUGUGGAACUGUCAAAACUGUGUUUGAAAUAAACCAACAAAAGAAAAUUAAUAGCCCCAUUCUCAAAAACCUCACAACUGAUUUGUCAGGUUAUUCUUACUCAAACCUCACAAGCAAAUAGCACAAUAAACUCACCACCGCGAGGCGAAAAGAACUUUGCUGUGAACCAGCCGUUUUAUAUAUACACACAAAACAAAACAAAGAAAUUGACAACCAAGAGAAGAAUUCAAAAUUUUAAAGAACAAUACAAGAGCAGCUUCAUUAUUAUGUAAUAUUUUGGAAGCAGCAUCCUGAGUUGCAACGAGGGAAGCUAACUCUGACUAACCCUCAAGUACAGUAAAUGUUGUGGUCGGACUUAGAAGAAACGUUAAAUUCCAUAAGAGGGCCGGCGAACAGCAACCAAAUGGAAAGAGCGUAUCGUGUGCAGACGGACGAAAUAGACAGGAACGAUUGUAUGAUCGGAGACAAUGCUUCUACCCCAGUUCCCUGAGGCCUGGCCUUUGCUAUACCAGUCCCGGAAAACAGGGACGAAUCGGUGCUUACCCGGGCCAACGCAGGUUACUACUUCUGCGUCCGAUGCACACUCCCUGACCAAGGACCGAAGUGGCUGUUUACUGACACACCACGUAGCUGACACCUCAGCAAAGCAAGAUUACAUCACCCGGAAACAUUCCUGUCGAGACUUCUAAGAACUUCCAAUGCGCUGCGUUGAGUACCAGUCAGGUUGUUAUAUUAGCUGCACCCAACAUGGUGCACAGACGCUGAUCAGGAAGCCGCCCAUUAUUCGUUUUAACUUAUUUCCCAACUGACUUGCUACUAUAGGCGGUCGGAUAUACGCGAUUCGUUGACGUCUCCGAAAGCUUAGAACUCAGCUAGAGCGCCUAAAUUUGAUAGAACAGUUCACUUCGUUAAUGGCGGCUGCUUUCUGGGUACGUUCAUCUGAACGGACCGGAUGAUACGACUACAGCAAUAUGGCGAGUGUACAACCCAAAACUCUAGCCAAAUGAUUGGAAUAGAUCCCUGUAACGGUCCUGAGUCAACCAAUGUGGCGCUGUACCGAAUCGAAUGGUUAAAAGUUCGCCGCUACGACAGUUGGUCUGCCCAAGAAUCGCAGUCCCAACACUGGGACAGACACCAGGGCCUUUUGGGCACUCCACUCAUCGAGAAUGAAAUGCAAUGUGUCACAAAGUAAUCGUCCAUGACUACCGUGCUGAAUCGUAAAACUGUCAGUUGGGUCUGAAAAUUUCAGACAGAAACUGAAGGUUGGAUCUUCAGUUAUUUUGCUUCGUAAUUUGAACUCAACACCUAAUCGAAAUACGAAUAUUUUAAUUAAGAAAAGUAGUAGAAUAUAAAUUUGUUAUCUUAUAUUUACAGUGCGAUUCUGUACUGUGAUCCAGUAUCAAGUCUCUAAAUUUGAGAUUUUAAGUUAGAGACAAUUUUUGAGACGAUUUUGCUAUUCUGUAAAUGACAGUCACAAAAUCUAUUACAUUUCAUUACUGAGAUGUUUUUACACUUGAAUGAAAAUAAAUAUGUCGAUAACAAAUAUUAAAUUUUCUAUAACAUAGUCAAAAACAUAA